RNAcentral lists this ribosomal RNA (496 nucleotides) under Megascolecidae sp. YN201706-01. RNAcentral describes it as "partial large subunit ribosomal RNA". It matches the Rfam family "Bacterial large subunit ribosomal RNA", at positions 1810 to 2607 of the family's 2925-position model. Lineage: Eukaryota; Metazoa; Annelida; Clitellata; Crassiclitellata; Megascolecidae. The record is from RNAcentral.
AAAACAUUGUCUCAUGAAAUAAAUAUGAGAUAGUACCUGCCCAGUGACACUGUUCAACGGCCGCGGUAUCCUAACCGUGCAAAGGUAGCAUAAUCACUUGCCUAUUAAUUGUAGGCUAGAAUGAAAGGUUUAACGAAAUAAACACUGUCUCAAUUAGCUAACUAAAAAUUAUUAUCUACACGAAGAAAUGUAGAUAAAAUCGAAGGACAAGAAGACCCUAUAGAGCUUAAUUUAACCUGUAGGAUACACUACAUAAAAAUUCGGUUGGGGCGACCCCGGGCUAAAUAAUCACCCACUACGUAUAAGAUUAAUUAAUCAACUAAGUGACCCUACAAAGAUCAUAAAACCAAGCUACCUUAGGGAUAACAGGCUAAUCCCACUAAAGAGUCCUUAUCAAUAGUGGGGGUUGGCACCUCGAUGUUGGCUUAGGAUAUCUAUAUGGCGCAAAAGUUAUAUAAAGAUGGUUUGUUCAACCAAUAACAUCCUACGUGAUCUG